UUGUAUGGCAGGUCGGCGGGCCAGCUUCGGCUGGGCCGCGUCUAUGUAGGCGGUAGUUCCAACCCGUUCGACCUGCCCCCAGA
Molecule: non-coding RNA, 83 nt
Filed under: Gynuella sunshinyii YC6258
Lineage: Bacteria; Pseudomonadati; Pseudomonadota; Gammaproteobacteria; Oceanospirillales; Saccharospirillaceae
Source: RNAcentral